This 433-nucleotide ribosomal RNA is filed under the name uncultured bacterium. Its description in RNAcentral is "partial 16S ribosomal RNA". It matches the Rfam family "Bacterial small subunit ribosomal RNA", at positions 29 to 507 of the family's 1533-position model. The record is from RNAcentral.
AACGAACGCUGGCGGCAUGCCUAACACAUGCAAGUCGAACGAGACCUUCGGGUCUAGUGGCGCACGGGUGCGUAACGCGUGGGAACCUGCCCUUAGGUUCGGAAUAACUCCCCGAAAGGGGUGCUAAUACCGGAUAAUGUCUUCGGCCCAAAGAUUUAUCGCCUUUGGAUGGGCCCGCGUUGGAUUAGCUAGUUGGUAGGGUAAAAGCCUACCAAGGCGCCGAUCCAUAGCUGGUCUGAGAGGAUGAUCAGCCACACUGGGACUGAGACACGGCCCAGACUCCUACGGGAGGCAGCAGUGGGGAAUAUUGGACAAUGGGCGAAAGCCUGAUCCAGCAAUGCCGCGUGAGUGAUGAAGGCCUUAGGGUUGUAAAGCUCUUUUACCCGGGAUGAUAAUGACAGUACCGGGAUAAUAAGCUCCGGCUAACUCCGUG